RNAcentral lists this ribosomal RNA (265 nucleotides) under Morganella morganii. RNAcentral's name for it is "partial 23S ribosomal RNA". It matches the Rfam family "Bacterial large subunit ribosomal RNA", at positions 1641 to 1889 of the family's 2925-position model. Lineage: Bacteria; Pseudomonadati; Pseudomonadota; Gammaproteobacteria; Enterobacterales; Morganellaceae. The record is from RNAcentral.
AUCGUACCCCAAACCGACACAGGUGGUCAGGUAGAGAAUACUCAGGCGCUUGAGAGAACUCGGGUGAAGGAACUAGGCAAAAUGGUGCCGUAACUUCGGGAGAAGGCACGCUGGCACUAGGUGAAGUCCCUUGCGGACGGAGCUGAAGCCAGCCGCAGAUACCAGCUGGCUGCAACUGUUUAUUAAAAACACAGCACUGUGCAAACACGAAAGUGGACGUAUACGGUGUGACGCCUGCCCGGUGCCGGAAGGUUAAUUGAUGAGG